GCGAUCCAUUUUUAAUUGGCCCGCAGCAGAUUCCAAAAAUAUACCAGAAUAAGGCCCGCACAUGAAACUGGAGGUAUUGCAUCUUUUGGUAUGCUGUAUGCGCCCCCAGCACCUCUGGGUGCUACAGGCAGAUUCAGUCCAGUGAAAGAUUAGAAGAGGCAAAUAAACACGAUUGGUAAUGUUCGGCCCUGACUUAUCCUUUAUCGGCAGCUCUGGGUGAUUCAGUGCUAUUUGCUCAAUGACAGCGACUGCCACUGCUGAUCGUGGGGGGAGUGUUUUGCUUUUAGGAGGAGCCUACAUCGUACGGGGCCCCGUCGGGACAUUUGGUUUGGUUGGUGAGCACGCAUGUCACUCCCAGAAGCUGCAUUCCACCCAGCACCGGCCCAGACACUACGGGACUGACUGAAGAGUCUCGAUGGGAGUGGUUUGUAGAAUUGUAAUGAGAUUGGACAAUCUGAAUUCGUAUUGCUGAACACUGCGUACACAUGAUUUUAUUCAGUCCCUGAAGCAAAGCUCAUAGAAGAUUUCUGAAGGUGAACUUGUGGAACAGUACUUACCUCCGGUCGCCACAGUAAUUUCACGUAGAAAAUGGCCGUAAAAUGGAAAAUCAAAGGACAGGUUCACUCUCUGCAAAGUACAAUGCCAGGGAAGAAAAUCAUUUUUUUGUAAAAAAAAAAAUAAAAAACAAAAUGUGA
This is a long non-coding RNA of Xenopus laevis (African clawed frog), 695 nucleotides long. RefSeq lists it as uncharacterized. Lineage: Eukaryota; Metazoa; Chordata; Amphibia; Anura; Pipidae. The record is from RefSeq and is a predicted model, not a curated record. The transcript has 3 exons.